AUUUCCCUGGGGUGUUUGUGAUUAUAGUAUUAUUUAUAACCAACACUUAUUAAACGGGAGUCUGCCCUCCGACAGUGGCGUGUAUGCUUUAAUUUAUUAAAGAAACCCAUAAGCUGCCGGGAAGACACCCACCUGCGAAAGCAGGUUGUAAAUUUGCUAAACACGGCACCUUGGGGAAAGA
This 181-nucleotide non-coding RNA is filed under the name Bacillota bacterium. RNAcentral describes it as "6S RNA". It matches the Rfam family "6S / SsrS RNA". From Rfam's summary of the family: E. coli 6S RNA was the first non coding RNA to be sequenced, but its function was unknown until recently. The record is from RNAcentral. Lineage: Bacteria; Bacillati; Bacillota.